UACGGGGGGGGCAAGCGUUGUUCGGAAUUACUGGGCGUAAAGGGUUCGUAGGUGGCCGACUAAGUCAGACGUGAAGUCCCUCAGCUCAACUGGGGAACUGCGUCUGAGACUGGCCGGCUUGAGUGCAGGAGAGGAACGCGGAAUUCCAGGUGUAGCGGUGAAAUGCGUAGAUAUCUGGAGGAACACCGGUGGCGAAGGCGGCGUUCUGGACUGCAACUGACACUGAGGAACGAAAGCCAGGGGAGCAAACGGG
RNAcentral lists this ribosomal RNA (253 nucleotides) under uncultured bacterium. Its description in RNAcentral is "partial 16S ribosomal RNA". It matches the Rfam family "Bacterial small subunit ribosomal RNA", at positions 524 to 776 of the family's 1533-position model. The record is from RNAcentral.